UUUCGGUUGUCGAUGGGGAUGCGUUCCAUUAGGCAGUUGGCGGGGUAACGGCCCACCAAACCUACGAUGGAUAGGGGUUCUGAGAGGAAGGUCCCCCACAUUGGAACUGAGACACGGUCCAAACUCCUACGGGAGGCAGCAGUGAGGAAUAUUGGUCAAUGGACGAGAGUCUGAACCAGCCAAGUAGCGUGAAGGAUGACUGCCCUAUGGGUUGUAAACUUCUUUUAUACGGGAAUAAAGUGAGCCACGUGUGGCUUUUUGUAUGUACCGUAUGAAUAAGGAUCGGCUAACUCCGUGCCAGCAGCCGCGGUAAUACGGAGGAUUCGAGCGUUAUCCGGAUUUAUUGGGUUUAAAGGGAGCGUAGGCGGGUUGUUAAGUCAGUUGUGAAAGUUUGCGGCUCAACCGUAAAAUUGCAGUUGAUACUGGCGACCUUGAGUGCAACAGAGGUA
This 449-nucleotide ribosomal RNA is filed under the name uncultured bacterium. Its description in RNAcentral is "bacterial SSU rRNA". It matches the Rfam family "Bacterial small subunit ribosomal RNA", at positions 213 to 659 of the family's 1533-position model. The record is from RNAcentral.